Molecule: transfer RNA, 73 nt
Filed under: Candidatus Woesearchaeota archaeon
Lineage: Archaea; Nanobdellati; Candidatus Woesearchaeota
Description: tRNA-Asn
Rfam family: tRNA
About the family: Transfer RNA (tRNA) molecules are approximately 80 nucleotides in length. Their secondary structure includes four short double-helical elements and three loops (D, anti-codon, and T loops).
Source: RNAcentral
GCCUCUGUAGCUUAGUUGGUGGAGCAGUCGGCUGUUAACCGACAGGUCGCCAGUUCGAGUCUGGCCAGAGGCG